Molecule: ribosomal RNA, 497 nt
Filed under: uncultured bacterium
Lineage: Bacteria
Description: partial 16S ribosomal RNA
Rfam family: Bacterial small subunit ribosomal RNA
Source: RNAcentral
GAUGAACGCUGGCGGCGUGCCUAAUACAUGCAAGUCGAGCGAACGGACGAGAAGCUUGCUUCUCUGAUGUUAGCGGCGGACGGGUGAGUAACACGUGGAUAACCUACCUAUAAGGCUGGGAUAACUUCGGGAAACCGGAGCUAAUACCGGAUAAUAUUUUGAACCGCAUGGUUCAAAAGUGAAAGACGGUCUUGCUGUCACUUAUAGAUGGAUCCGCGCUGCAUUAGCUAGUUGGUAAGGUAACGGCUUACCAAGGCAACGAUGCAUAGCCGACCUGAGAGGGUGAUCGGCCACACUGGAACUGAGACACGGUCCAGACUCCUACGGGAGGCAGCAGUAGGGAAUCUUCCGCAAUGGGCGAAAGCCUGACGGAGCAACGCCGCGUGAGUGAUAAAGGUCUUCGGAUCGUAAAACUCUGUUAUUAGGGAAGAACAUAUGUGUAAGUAACUGUGCACAUCUUGACGGUACCUAAUCAGAAAGCCACGGCUAACUACGUG